CGCCGCUAUUAACCUCAAGUUCAACUACAAAAUUCCUCAAAAUCUUAGCCUAAUUUAUCCAAAAUGGCCUUUAAAUGAAUGAACCAAACAACCAUUUGUAGAUUAACUUCUUCUGUUUCAAAGGGAGAUGGGAAAGCCAGAAAAGAACGGCAGUAGGAAAAAACAGUAAACAUGAGGAUAUUGACUCUAAGCCUUCGUAGGUUUUAGAGGCUUAACAGUCUCCCAGGUGAAAUCCGGGUCAUCACGGCCAAAAUGUCCAUAGGCAGCAGUCUUCUGAUACCUGAAGUUG
Molecule: unclassified non-coding RNA, 289 nt
Filed under: Hevea brasiliensis (rubber tree)
Lineage: Eukaryota; Viridiplantae; Streptophyta; Magnoliopsida; Malpighiales; Euphorbiaceae
Source: RNAcentral